CACGUAGGGGACGAGCGUUGUCCGGAUUUACUGGGCGUAAAGAGCGCGCAGGCGGUCGUUCAAGUCGAGUGUGAAAGCCCCCGGCUCAACUGGGGAGGGUCACUCGAUACUGAUCGACUUGAAGGCAGGAGAGGGAAGCGGAAUUCCCGGUGUAGUGGUGAAAUGCGUAGAUAUCGGGAGGAACACCAGUGGCGAAGGCGGCUUCCUGGCCUGUUCUUGACGCUGAGGCGCGAAAGCUAGGGGAGCAAACGGG
Molecule: ribosomal RNA, 253 nt
Filed under: uncultured bacterium
Lineage: Bacteria
Description: partial 16S ribosomal RNA
Rfam family: Bacterial small subunit ribosomal RNA
Source: RNAcentral